AGAGUUUGAUCCUGGCUCAGAUUGAACGCUGGCGGCAGGCUUAACACAUGCAAGUCGAGCGGGGAAGGGUAGCUUGCUACCUGACCUAGCGGCGGACGGGUGAGUAAUGCUUAGGAAUCUGCCUAUUAGUGGGGGACAACAUUCCGAAAGGAAUGCUAAUACCGCAUACGCCCUACGGGGGAAAGCAGGGGAUCUUCGGACCUUGCGCUAAUAGAUGAGCCUAAGUCAGAUUAGCUAGUUGGUGGGGUAAAGGCCUACCAAGGCGACGAUCUGUAGCGGGUCUGAGAGGAUGAUCCGCCACACUGGGACUGAGACACGGCCCAGACUCCUACGGGAGGCAGCAGUGGGGAAUAUUGGACAAUGGGCGAAAGCCUGAUCCAGCCAUGCCGCGUGUGUGAAGAAGGCCUUUUGGUUGUAAAGCACUUUAAGCGAGGAGGAGGCUACUUGGAUUAAUACUCUAGGAUAGUGGACGUUACUCGCAGAAUAAGCACCGGCUAACUCUGUGCCAGCAGCCGCGGUAAUACAGAGGGUGCGAGCGUUAAUCGGAUUUACUGGGCGUAAAGCGUGCGUAGGCGGCUUCUUAAGUCGGAUGUGAAGUCCCUGAGCUUAACUUAGGAAUUGCAUUCGAUACUGGGAAGCUAGAGUAUGGGAGAGGAUGGUAGAAUUCCAGGUGUAGCGGUGAAAUGCGUAGAGAUCUGGAGGAAUACCGAUGGCGAAGGCAGCCAUCUGGCCUA
Molecule: ribosomal RNA, 734 nt
Filed under: uncultured bacterium
Lineage: Bacteria
Description: bacterial SSU rRNA
Rfam family: Bacterial small subunit ribosomal RNA
Source: RNAcentral